GUCAGUGUUCCUGGAGACGGGGUUUCCAUGGAAUCUCUUCAGAUUAGCAAACCGUAAAACACACAGACCAUAACAAGUUCAUCCGAACCUUUCUUGUAAACAAGCUCAAGGAACCACUGGGGAAAACCCCUGGGAGCUUGCAUCAGCAGCCAAUAAUUGUGCUCCUCCAUCCCCAUGACACCCAUCGUGCUAAUCUGAAGAAAAACCCUGUCUACAAACAGGCAGCCUCUUGCUGAGUCCUGACUCCCAACCCUCUCGCUCCCAGGUUGCGCAGAAUGAACAGACAAUAAACCUUGGUGAUGGGUUAGGUGGCCAAUUGGAAGCAAGCGGACAGUGGUAUGUGUCUAAUCAAUUGUUAGAGAUAUAAGUAUAGGUCGUUCAUUCAAGAGUGAUUGGGUUUACAUAAUUUACACUUCUUCAAGAAAAUGACUUUUAAGGAGGCAGCUAAAGUAAGGGCCCACCUGGAAGAACAUUCUGGCGAAGGAGACAGUUAGUUGACAAUCCUCAAGGAACGCCCAAAAGACCACUCACUGUCUCUGGAGGACAGGACAGGGGAUAGAGUGCUUGUACUCCUGAACAAGAUGGAAUCAGGUGGUUUUUCACACCAGAGAAGGCAAUUCUAAGGGCAAAAAAAAAUCCACUAUGGUAUUCGUAUAGCCAUGACAGAAUUUUAUGGGUUUUCGAUUUGGUUUGGUUUGAUUUUAACACGACACUUGAAGUUUAGAGGGCAGGACUUAAGGGGUUUGAACAAACUAGCUUGGAAGAAAUAAAGUGGAAACAUUUCCACAAGAUGAACCUUACCUCCUAGCUCUUCCUCUUAAUGUAACAUGGCUACCCAAGCCCAUCUCUGUCUCUUUCUAUCAAUAUACUCAUCAAGCAAAGAUCAGGACCUUGUAAAUGUGUCUUCUAAAAUGUCUGCCUCCAUGGUUCCAUUUUUCUUUAUAAUCUAACUUUCAGAAAGCAAAUUUGUGUUAACUCUUAGGAAAUAACCUCUUCACUACUACCCUCUCUUUACCAUGAUGAUCAAAUAUAAAUAUUGGCAAACAUAGUUUAUAGGAAAAAAACUAAAUAUAUUUGUGCUUCCAGGAUUCUGUUAGGAUUUAAAACACCACCAGUGCUCUGGAAGUCUCCUUGUAUACCAUCCAAAACACUCUUCAAAUAUACUAAUCUAAUUUCUAAUACUAUGAAUUAAUUUUACAGGAUCACAAAAUUACAGAAAUACAAUCGUACAACAUAAUUUUGUAGCUGUGCGAUGUAUUCAGUUGAUGCAGCUCUAUAGGGUGCAUUGUCUCUGAGUUACAAGAUUAUGGAAUCUAUGCUACUUUUGGCUCAUUUGGGUAAUUUCUGAACUUUGGAUAUUAUAAAUAGUGCUUCUAUAAAUGUUUUUAUAUGCUAUGCUUUCCUUCUUUAUAUCCAUAAUUUGCAUUUCUAAUGUUGAUUAUAUUUUAAAACAUUUAUUGGACAUUUGUAUGUCAUUGUCGACAACAUGCUUGUUAAUGUAUCCUGCCUGUUUAGCAACUAUUAUUUUUUUUAAUGAGUUGCAAGAAUUCCUUUAUAAUUCUAUGUUGAAAUUCUGUUUUGAAUAUACAGUUAAAUUCUUCAACUUGAGACUCAGCCCUUUAAAGUGUUAAGUGGAAAGAGGAAUUAGUAAGAGAUUUUAGAGAUUUGUUAUCUUAUUAAUUACGUGUGUGCCUGUAUGCGUGCAUAAGUGUUAUUACAUGUCCCGUGUGCCAGUAGAGGUCUGACACAGUGUCAGACACCCUGAAGCUAAAGUUGCAUGCAUUUGUGAGCCUCUGUAAAGGCAAAGAACAUUCUGGAUCACUGAGCCAGCCCUCCAGCCUUAGUAAUAAUACUUUUGAAAGCACCUUUUCGUGGUUCCACAGAAUACAAUUUACAACAUUUCAGUACAACACGCUAAGACGUACUGAGGGCCUUUGCAUUAUUAGCAGUAAGAAUAACAUCCUAGGCCUGGAGAGCAGCUGUGCUGCUGAAGGGCACUGGUUUUUCUUUCAGAAGGCCUGGGUUCAAUUUCUACUAUCCACGUGUCAGCUCAGGGCCCUUUGAAACUGCCAUUUCUAGGGAUGUUAUAUACUCCUCAGGCCCCUGAGGAUACAAGAAAUACACUCAUACAUAAAAUACAUACAGUAAAAACCGACAAUCCUUUAAAAUGUCUUAAUGUAUAAUUUUUUUCUAAUACCUACAAACUUAAAUUCCAGACCAAACUUUGAUUCCCAGACCCACUCCCAUCAAGUUCAAAUGCCCCUGUAACAAAGUUUUAUUUAGCUCUUGUUUUCUAUGUCCUUGCAAGCAAUUCAGAAAGGAUGGAGGGGUCAAUAAAGCUCAGAAAGAUAUACACUACACAAAAAACAACAACUUCGGCCUCAUAAUGCCACUAUCCUGUAAGGAAGGCAGUCUAUUAUCUAAAUAGAAGACAGUUUAGAUGGACGGUCUGUCGCUGACUAGAACAAUGUUUCUGUACAAUUAGAAUAAAUCUACCCUUAAGUCAAAACACUUUACUCCCAACUGUCAGUAUAUUGUUUUAAUGUAUGAAUCUUUUUAGAACAAAACUUUUUUUGUGCCAUCUGCCUGAAGUCUAUUUAAAUAAACACUGAGGGAGGAGGGCGUGACGUGCUCUACACACAUAUACACAGCAAAUACAAUCAUCCAAAGAAGAGUGGAUGGCUGGAGUAGGAGAAAGUCAGCAUUUUACAGCCAGACUGGGCAGUUUUCUACAGUCUCUGCAGUUUCCUCAGUCUGCAGCAGCAGCCUGUCUUCAACGUGUCCUAAAGGUCACAUGUCUUCAUAACACUUCUUCC
Non-coding RNA from Rattus norvegicus (Norway rat), 2816 nucleotides. Lineage: Eukaryota; Metazoa; Chordata; Mammalia; Rodentia; Muridae. The record is from RefSeq and is a predicted model, not a curated record.